This 424-nucleotide ribosomal RNA is filed under the name uncultured bacterium. RNAcentral's name for it is "partial 16S ribosomal RNA". It matches the Rfam family "Bacterial small subunit ribosomal RNA", at positions 360 to 776 of the family's 1533-position model. The record is from RNAcentral.
AAUAUUGGACAAUGGGCGAAAGCCUGAUCCAGCCAUGCCGCGUGUGUGAAGAAGGGCUUCGGAUUGUAAAGCACUUUAAGGUGGGAGGAAGGGGUUGAAGCUAAUACCUCCACUCUUUGAUGUUACGAACAGAUUAAGCACCGGCUAACCCUGUGCCAUCAGCCGCGGUAAUACAGAGGGUGCAAGCGUUAAUCUGAAUUACUGGGCGUAAAGCGCGCGUAGGUGGUUCAGUAAGAUGGAAGUGAAAUCCCCGGGCUUAACCUGGGAACUGCUUUCAUAACUGCUGAGCUAGAGUACGGUAGAGGGUAGUGGAAUUUCCUGUGUAGCGGUGAAAUGCGUAGAUAUAGGAAGGAACACCAGUGGCGAAGGCGACUACCUGGACUGAUACUGACACUGAGGUGCGAAAGCGUGGGGAGCAAACAGG